AACGUAGGACGCAAGCGUUAUCCGGAGUUACUGGGCGUAAAGCGCGGGCAGGCGGUUCUUUAAGUCUGACGUGAAAGCUCCCGGCUUAACCGGGAGAGGCCGUUGGAAACUAGGGAACUGGAGAGCAGCAGAGGUGGGCGGAAUUCCGGGUGGAGUGGUGAAAUGCGUAGAGAUCCGGAGGAACACCAGAGGCGAAGGCGGCCCACUGGGCUGCAUCUGACGCUGAGCCGCGAAAGCCAGGGGAGCGAACGGG
RNAcentral lists this unclassified non-coding RNA (253 nucleotides) under uncultured Anaerolineae bacterium. RNAcentral describes it as "contains 16S-23S intergenic spacer region". It matches the Rfam family "Bacterial small subunit ribosomal RNA", at positions 524 to 776 of the family's 1533-position model. Lineage: Bacteria; Bacillati; Chloroflexota; Anaerolineae. The record is from RNAcentral.